This 1021-nucleotide ribosomal RNA is filed under the name Tuber sp. RNAcentral describes it as "SSU rRNA". It matches the Rfam family "Eukaryotic small subunit ribosomal RNA", at positions 93 to 1116 of the family's 1831-position model. The record is from RNAcentral. Lineage: Eukaryota; Fungi; Ascomycota; Pezizomycetes; Pezizales; Tuberaceae.
AUGGCUCAUUAAAUCAGUAUCGUUUAUUUGAUAGUACCUUGCUACUGGAUAACCGUGGUAAUCUAGAGCUAAUACAUGCUAAAAUCCCGACCUGGAAGGGAUGUAUUUAUUAGAUAAAAAACCAAUGGCUUCGGCCUCCUGGUGAUUCAUGAUAACUCAACGAAUCGCAUGGCCUUGCGCCGGCGAUGGUUCAUUCAAAUUUCUGCCCUAUCAACUUUCGAUGGUAGGAUAGUGGCCUACCAUGGUUUCAACGGGUAACGGGGAAUUAGGGUUCUAUUCCGGAGAGGGAGCCUGAGAAACGGCUACCACAUCCAAGGAAGGCAGCAGGCGCGCAAAUUACCCAAUCCCGACACGGGGAGGUAGUGACAAUAAAUACUGAUACAGGGCUCUUUUGGGUCUUGUAAUUGGAAUGAGUACAAUUUAAAUCCCUUAACGAGGAACAAUUGGAGGGCAAGUUUGGUGCCAGCAGCCGCGGUAAUUCCAGCUCCAAUAGCGUAUAUUAAAGUUGUUGCAGUUAAAAAGCUUGUAGUUGAACCUUGGGUCUGGCUGGCCGGUCCGCCUCACCGCGUGCACUGGUCCGGCCGGAUCUUUCCUUUUGGCUAGCCGCAUGCCCUUCACUGGGUGUGUCGGGGAACCAGGACUUUUACUUUGAAAAAAUUAGAGUGUUCAAAGCAGGCAUAUGCUUGAAUACAUUAGCAUGGAAUAAUAGAAUAGGACGUGCGGUUUUAUUUUGUUGGUUUCUAGGACCGCCGUAAUGAUUAAUAGGGAUAGUCGGGGGCAUCAGUAUUCAAUUGUCAGAGGUGAAAUUUUUGGAUUUAUUGAAGACUAACUACUGCGAAAGCAUUUGCCAAGGAUGUUUUCAUUAAUCAGUGAACGAAAGUUAGGGGAUCGAAGACGAUCAGAUACCGUCGUAGUUUUAACCAUAAACUAUGCCGACUAGGGAUCGGGCGAUGUUCUUUUUCUGACUCGCUCGGCACCUUACGAGAAAUCAAAGUCUUUGGGUCUGGGGAGUAGGCCACGC